This 761-nucleotide long non-coding RNA is filed under the name Oryctolagus cuniculus (rabbit). RNAcentral describes it as "lncRNA (ENSOCUG00000038077.1)". The record is from RNAcentral. Lineage: Eukaryota; Metazoa; Chordata; Mammalia; Lagomorpha; Leporidae.
UGCUGCACAGGUGCCCUAUUCCCCCGGCGGGCGUGUGCUGCUGCUCUAACCAGUGCGCUAGCUCGUGCGCUAUUAUCAGAAAGUAUCUAAGCUUUCAAUUCCGGAAAGCUGGCUUGUACUAGGAAAGCGAAGCCAAAGUAGAAAACGUGCAUCCCUUGUUUCCCCCAGAAAGGUGAACAACUCCCCACACGUAAUGCCCACCUGUACGCACGUGACUGGGAGAGACUGAGGGUUUCCUUGAGAGGAGAUGGAAGCAACCAUGUAGAAAGGGGAGAACCCCAUUUUUUCUGCAGCAUAUAUCACUGUUUGCGUUUUCUGAUGUAAUAGUAGCCAGGAUUCUGGCUGCCGCUUGAAGUCCUGUUUGAUUUUUCUCCCGAGGCAAUUCUGCGCUCACGUUCCGUUUCCUGUUAGAGCUCUCACUGCCUUGCAUCCUUCACCCUGGGGAGGCGCCCAGGCUGUAGCGGGGCUCUACAAAUGUGGAGCAGAUGGAGGAGCAGCCAUGCCGGCAAGAGCUAUCGCCUGACAAAGCGGGGCUUCAGGAUCGGAGAAACCGCGGCACGGAUGAACCCACUGCGGUGGGAAAGGUGAUCUCAAAUUACACCAUAAAGGUAACCAGCUGCAGAAGCAGAAGGCAACCCCACACCCUGAGGAGUGUAUUACCUGAAAAGCCAGAUAGUACCUGGCUCUCUCCCAGACAGCAUUGCUCAUCAUGGACGGUUCAAGCCAAAUUAUCCAUUAUUGUUCCCCAAGUUUACAAUUAA